Molecule: long non-coding RNA, 927 nt
Organism: Neofelis nebulosa (Clouded leopard)
Lineage: Eukaryota; Metazoa; Chordata; Mammalia; Carnivora; Felidae
Exons: 2
Source: RefSeq, a predicted model, not a curated record
AGAGGAGCAAUGGGAAGGAGAGAGAAAGAAUCCCAAGGCUCAAGCCCUGGGAUAAUAGUCUGAGCAGAAAUCAAGAGUUGGAAGCUCAACUGACUGAGCCACCCAGGUGCCCCAGUGGUGGUGUUUUUACAAGGGAUUCUCAUCAAAUCUUUAACCCCUGGCCAUUUAAGUCUUUGUCACCCACAGAUAGUUUUUGUUUCGCUCUGCUGCUUCUGCAAAAGCAUUUGCAAUCAGCUACAGGCCAGAGUGGUUUGUCUUCAACCGGAAGGGACUGUCUCCAAGAUCCAUGAAAUGCCCCUCAUUAAAUGCCUGAUCACUGGCACCAUCCAGCAAGUAUCCUCUACUAGCGAGUUCCAACAGAUGGUUCAAUAAAAGGUGAUCAAAUGGAAAUGGGCUUAUAUUAUUCAGCAGAAAGAACAUCUCUUCUUUCCUUUAACAAGAGGGAGAGACCUGCCAAAGACUCUUUCCUUGACCAAACUCUAUCCAGGCUCCUCUGAGCCUUCUUCUCAACUAGGCCUCAACCUUGGCCUACAAAGACUUGAACAAACACUAAAUAGCAUCUAACAGCUCAAAGUUGCAUCCUUAGGAUGACCUUAGCCCCCUUAAGGUGCAUGCCAGAGAAAACUCCAGGCUUCCCAAAGAAGUGACUGUUCCAGCAAACACCUGAGGAUAGGGCUCCAUCUCCAAGUCGCUGUGGGAGCUUUCAUAAGCAUGACUUAGCACAUCCAAAUGGGUGUUACACAGACCAGCUUCCUCUUCCCACUUUUCAUAACUUCUCACUUCCCUGACUCACUCCUGCCAUCCCCCUCCCCCACUCACUCACUCUUCUUUCCAAAGGCCCAGUGCCUCUGAACAAAUCUGAAUGGAGCUCAGCUCUUUCCCCUACUGUGGGUAGUUACUGAAUAAAAUCUGUCCUUACUGCUGUAA